UCUUCUGGGAUAUUUAUUUUUCAACAAAAAUACAUACUCGAUAUUUUUUAAGAGAGUGGUAUAUUAGGAACUAAACCAACCAAUUUUCUUAUGCAACAACAACUAUGGCUCUUGACAGACAAUGGUCCAUCCCUUGAUAAUCUGGGUCAAUAUUGAUGAUUAUUGGGGCCUCUUAUUUAUUUGACGAUAAGUAGGUCGGAAAUUGUCGAGUUUGUACAUAUCUUGACAUAAUUCAUGCAGUCUC
This 244-nucleotide long non-coding RNA is filed under the name Elaeis guineensis (African oil palm). RNAcentral describes it as "long non-coding RNA (EGUI_LNC002229)". The record is from RNAcentral. Lineage: Eukaryota; Viridiplantae; Streptophyta; Magnoliopsida; Arecales; Arecaceae.